Molecule: ribosomal RNA, 347 nt
Filed under: Bacillus thuringiensis
Lineage: Bacteria; Bacillati; Bacillota; Bacilli; Caryophanales; Bacillaceae
Description: bacterial LSU rRNA
Rfam family: Bacterial large subunit ribosomal RNA
Source: RNAcentral
UUCGCCCAUUAAAGCGGUACGCGAGCUGGGUUCAGAACGUCGUGAGACAGUUCGGUCCCUAUCCGUCGUGGGCGUAGGAAAUUUGAGAGGAGCUGUCCUUAGUACGAGAGGACCGGGAUGGACGCACCGCUGGUGUACCAGUUGUUCUGCCAAGGGCAUAGCUGGGUAGCUAUGUGCGGAAGGGAUAAGUGCUGAAAGCAUCUAAGCAUGAAGCCCCCCUCAAGAUGAGAUUUCCCAUAGCGUAAGCUAGUAAGAUCCCUGAAAGAUGAUCAGGUUGAUAGGUUCGAGGUGGAAGCAUGGUGACAUGUGGAGCUGACGAAUACUAAUAGAUCGAGGACUUAACCACA